UGGGGAAUAUUGGGCAAUGGGCGCAAGCCUGAUCCAGCCAUGCCGCGUGUGUGAAGAAGGCCUUCGGGUUGUAAAGCACUUUUGUCCGGAAAGAAAGCGAAUCGGCGAAUACCCGGUUUGGAUGACGGUACCGGAAGAAUAAGCACCGGCUAACUCCGUGCCAGCAGCCGCGGUAAUACGGAGGGUGCAAGCGUUGUUCGGAAUUACUGGGCGUAAAGCGCGUGUAGGCGGACCUAUAAGUCAGAUGUGAAAGCCCUGGGCUCAACCCAGGAAGUGCAUCUGAUACUGUAGGCCUUGAGUCCCGGAGAGGGUUGUGGAAUUCCCGGUGUAGAGGUGAAAUUCGUAGAUAUCGGGAGGAACACCAGUGGCGAAGGCGACAACCUGGACGAGGACUGACGCUGAGACGCGAAAGCGUGGGGAGCAAACA
Molecule: ribosomal RNA, 427 nt
Filed under: uncultured bacterium
Lineage: Bacteria
Description: bacterial SSU rRNA
Rfam family: Bacterial small subunit ribosomal RNA
Source: RNAcentral